CAGAGGGACAGACAGAGGGGGAUAGAAGCCCUUUCACCGGGAACAUCUGGAACUUUCCAGCCUCUCCAGAUAGAGACACACACCAUUUUGAGGAUAUGAAAGCUGUCACAUCUUUUAUAUGGCGGCACUCUCAUUAAAGACUGGGAGGGCGUGCGCCACGCUGUCUCGUGCUGAUCUUGUUUUAAAGGGGUCAUAUGAUGUUGCUAAAAAGAACAUUAUUUUGUGUAUUUGGUGUAAUGCAAUGUGUUUAUACAGUUUAAGGUUCAAAAAACUUUAUUUUCCACAUACUGUACAUUAUUGUUGCUAUUCUAUGCCUUUCUGAAACGCAUCGAUUUUUACAAA
Long non-coding RNA from Cyprinus carpio carpio, 342 nucleotides. The record is from Ensembl. NCBI's taxonomy places the organism in Eukaryota, Metazoa, Chordata, Actinopteri, Cypriniformes, Cyprinidae.